GCUGGGGUAGAGAUGUAGCAUCAAACAUUCAUGGAUGCCCAGGGACCACGGGCCCACAGGCUGCUGGCCAGAGGUACUAGGAAGGUACAGGCGGGAGCCCGACGAGGAUGUGCCUUCCUCUGCCUUGGAAAGGGGGCUGUUCACCGUGUAUGCUGGAUGUGUUAAGCCCUGAGGUCGUGUGAAAAGAAGUUUGCUUUGGGCCCAUCCAUCUCCUACUGGCUAUCCACAAGAUGGAGAAGGCGGAAGCAACCCGAGGAGGCAUCUUUGUCUGACACCUCUGGUGAAGUCCUGUUGUACAUGGCUAUUUAAAUGUCUAUUGAUGGUGUAAUUUGAAGUCAGCUAUUGUCAGUUGGCCUCAAAGGUGGGCCAUUGAGAAGAUGGGUGUUCUUUGUGCCUAAAAAAAAGCAGCAGUUGAAGGAUGGAGCAGGAAAGGGGUAUCAGCAUUACAGGAAAGUCAUGUGAACUGCCUGCAAGCAUCUCCAAGGAAAGAAAAUGGCGUUCCAUGCGAUCUUC
Acomys russatus (golden spiny mouse) is the source of this 513-nucleotide long non-coding RNA. RefSeq lists it as uncharacterized. Lineage: Eukaryota; Metazoa; Chordata; Mammalia; Rodentia; Muridae. The record is from RefSeq and is a predicted model, not a curated record. The transcript is spliced from 3 exons.